AAAGCUCAUUGAGCGCUCAGUGAGCAUUCGUGGUUCUGGAUGCAUCCAAUGUAUAAGCAUUUGGCCCACAAAUGGCGUGGAAUAGUGUAGAUAGUGCAAAGUUAGUGUAAUAUAUUUACACAGAGUGCAGUGUUCCUAACCUAUUGUUGUCAUCGCUGCGCUUAUCUCAGAUUUAACUUCUUGCUGUAAGUACUAAAAAGAAUGCCAGCUUGUUACAUCGAGGGAUGCAAAAGCCGAAAUGAGGAAGGUAUCCGCUUAUUUCGCAUACCAACAAGUGAAAAAAAUAAAGUACGACGCGAAGAAUGGAUCAGAUUGAUUGGAAGAAACAUCUCUGCCAGAAAAUGUCAAAAUUUGCGAGCUACAUUUUGGUGCGGGUCAAUUCGAAAGAAAACGAGAAGAUGGAAAACGACUGCUUUGUCCAUGUGCGAAGCCAAACUUAUUAGAGAAACAUUUUGAGGACAUGAUAUCUAAUCAGGAAGGUACCAGUAAUAAUACAAAUAAAGCAAGAUACACCGAUGUAACAACUGCAACACUGAUAUUAAACAGUUUUCAUGACAAAAAGUUUGAAGUAUUGAGAAAUACUACAUGUAAUAGUAAAGAUUAUGAAAACAAUAUUCAAUUUUUACAAAAGGCAUUAAAAAGUCCGAGGCAGGAAUGUAGACGUUUAAAACAGAACUUGCAGACACGAAAUAAUAAGUAUAUA
This is a long non-coding RNA of Harpegnathos saltator (Jerdon's jumping ant), 703 nucleotides long. RefSeq lists it as uncharacterized. Lineage: Eukaryota; Metazoa; Arthropoda; Insecta; Hymenoptera; Formicidae. The record is from RefSeq and is a predicted model, not a curated record. The transcript is spliced from 3 exons.